Non-coding RNA from Solanum tuberosum (potato), 54 nucleotides. The record is from Rfam. Lineage: Eukaryota; Viridiplantae; Streptophyta; Magnoliopsida; Solanales; Solanaceae.
GUGAGAUGAGAUUAACGUUUGGAUAUAUGAUUUUACGUUGAUUUCAUCUCAUGA